AUAGUGCUGACUUGGGCACUGUGGAAACACGACCUCUUCCCAGUGAGCUCCUCCCAGCAUUAUCUCGUGGUAGGAUCACAGCAGAGCUCAGCCUGUCCCAGAGUGAGCAAAAGGGGGAGGGGAGAAGCUCCUGAUUUUUCAGUAUGCAGUAGAUAAACACCAUUAAUACCCUCUUCAAAGGAGCCUGUGCAUAUUGCCUUGCCUAGCAGAGGUACAGGCAGGCAUAAGCAGAUGAAGCAAUUACUUGGGACACUGGGAAAGCAAUAGCCUUUCCAUUUUAAGCUGCAGUGAGAGCACAGUGGAUCUCAGGCACUAAUGCACUGAUAUAGAAGAAAGGCCAGAGUCUGACUUGGACCAGGAACAUCUCUAUUCGCUUCAGCAAGGUUUUAGUCAACUAAACUGUGUGAAUGACAGGACACUGAAAAUACUCCAACAAAUCUAAUUUUCAAAAUAAUUACACUGGUGUUUCCUGGGGAAAAAUAAACCCAAACUACAGCUAUGCUGCAAGUAAUACCACAGGAAACCUAUCAUAGCAAACCAGGCUGACUACAGCUGUGGAGGGUGAAAUGGGUAGAAAGGAAUGCUGCUGUUUCUCUGGUUUGUGUUCUUUUUGCCAAGUGAAGAAAGUUGCUAUUGUUGUUAGUUUUGAAACUGAUCGAAAAUGCUGAGUGAAAUGACUAAAGAUUGAAUUGCUGGAAAUAUCUGCAAGAGGAAUUCUGUAAGGCAACAGUGUUCAUGCAUAUUCCCAUCCGUUGACCAUGCCACCCUCAGGGAGGGAGCACAGGACUGCUGCAAUGGGAAAACUUAGGUGUUGUGUCCUCCCAGUUUCUCCCUCUUCCUAGAGAAAUCAAGGAACUUCCUUGUGGAGGUGCUCUGGAAAGUACUUCUCUGCUUUCCUCUCUUUUCUACUCUCGUCAGGUACAAGCCUGCUCUGUAAUUGUUUCUCUCCUAACCAUGGGUGUUUCUCUGAGGAGAUUCCUCGUUCAGGAUAUCCAAGACACCAGAGGGCAGCAGAAGUGUUAAAGCAGAAAUUGCAAAAGCAUCAACCUUCCCAACAGAAGGACCUCUUUUGAUGAUGAUAAACCGUGAUUGUGUAAGAGGUUUGUAAUGACCUGACAGUAUCAAUUCAUAAUGAAACUGGUAGAAAAACGAUGUAAUUAUGACACUACCAAAACUGUGCAAUAGCUACUUCUGAGCAGCACUGCUGGAAACUGUUAUGACCCACAUGUACAAAAGUGGAAGAGAAAUACCGAAAUGUUGCUGAGAGUAAUAGACACAUGAAGUCUUUAAUUUAACUCUCA
This is a long non-coding RNA of Pezoporus flaviventris, 1301 nucleotides long. RefSeq lists it as uncharacterized. Lineage: Eukaryota; Metazoa; Chordata; Aves; Psittaciformes; Psittacidae. The record is from RefSeq and is a predicted model, not a curated record. The transcript is spliced from 3 exons.